This 440-nucleotide ribosomal RNA is filed under the name uncultured bacterium. RNAcentral describes it as "bacterial SSU rRNA". It matches the Rfam family "Bacterial small subunit ribosomal RNA", at positions 954 to 1392 of the family's 1533-position model. The record is from RNAcentral.
GCACAACGCGAAGAACCUUACCUGGUCUUGACAUCCCUCUGACCGGUGCAGAGAUGUACCUUUCCUUCGGGACAGAGGAGACAGGUGGUGCAUGGUUGUCGUCAGCUCGUGUCGUGAGAUGUUGGGUUAAGUCCCGCAACGAGCGCAACCCUUGAGCUUAGUUGCCAGCACGUGAAGGUGGGCACUCUAGGCUGACUGCCGGUGACAAACCGGAGGAAGGCGGGGAUGACGUCAAAUCAUCAUGCCCCUUAUGACCUGGGCUACACACGUACUACAAUGGCCGGUACAAAGGGUUGCGAAGGAGCGAUCCGGAGCCAAUCCCAGCAAAGCCGGUCUCAGUUCGGAUUGCAGGCUGCAACUCGCCUGCAUGAAGUCGGAAUUGCUAGUAAUCGCGGAUCAGCAUGCCGCGGUGAAUACGUUCCCGGGUCUUGUACACACCG